UGGGGAAUUUUGCACAAUGGGCGCAAGCCUGAUGCAGCGACGCCGCGUGAGGGAUGAAUGCCUUCGGGUUGUAAACCUUUUUCGCUCAUGGUCAAGCCGCAGCUUUGGGUUGUGGUGAGGGUAGUGGGUAAAGAAGCGCCGGCUAACUACGUGCCAGCAGCCGCGGUAAUACGUAGGGCGCGAGCGUUGUCCGGAAUUAUUGGGCGUAAAGGGCUUGUAGGCGGUUGGCCGCGUCUGCCGUGAAAUCCUCUGGCUUAACUGGGGGCGUGCGGUGGGUACGGGUUGACUUGAGUGCGGUAGGGGAGACUGGAAUUCCUGGUGUAGCGGUGGAAUGCGGAGAUAUCAGGAGGAACACCGGUGGCGAAGGCGGGUCUCUGGGCCGUUACUGACGCUGAGGAGCGAAAGCGUGGGGAGCGAACAGG
Molecule: ribosomal RNA, 422 nt
Filed under: Verrucomicrobiota bacterium
Lineage: Bacteria; Pseudomonadati; Verrucomicrobiota
Description: Verrucomicrobia bacterium partial 16S ribosomal RNA
Rfam family: Bacterial small subunit ribosomal RNA
Source: RNAcentral